This is a long non-coding RNA of Tupaia belangeri chinensis (Chinese tree shrew), 394 nucleotides long. RefSeq lists it as uncharacterized. The transcript has 3 exons. Lineage: Eukaryota; Metazoa; Chordata; Mammalia; Scandentia; Tupaiidae. The record is from RefSeq and is a predicted model, not a curated record.
UCAUGCACAUAAUGUAACUGAACUGACUGUCGGUCUGGUCCAGUGGCCAAACCCAAGUUUGACUUCUCGUUGCUUGAAGGGAACAUAUUUAAUUUUUUUUUUCUGGUGGAAAACUAUAUGAAGAGGAUAACCAACAAAGUAACAAAGUAAUACACACGUGAUAUUGCAGGGUAUGCCUUAUCACUGACCCAUAAGCCACUCAGCCUGGCAGUCAGAUUUUCAGAUUGUCUUGAUGCCCACCCACCUUUGGCUUGCCAGAUGCCUAUUUAUGGAUAGAUCCUGGGUCAGCUAUUUGUCUAAAAUGAGAGUGCAUGGAACAUGAAUAGUUUUCAGUAAAUUGUUACAAGGGAACUGGAACUUGAGUUUCAAGUCAAGAAAUUGGUGGGCAUGGAAC